CUGGCUCAGGAUGAACGCUGGCGGCGUGCUUAACACAUGCAAGUCGAACGGAGCUUAGAAGGAAGCUUGCUUUCAUUUAAGCUUAGUGGCGGACGGGUGAGUAACGCGUGAGUAACCUGCCCUUGAGAGGGGAAUAACAUCGAGAAAUCGGUGCUAAUACCGCAUAAUGUCGGAGUACCGCAUGACAUUCCGACCAAAGAUUUUAUCGCUCAAGGAUGGACUCGCGUCCGAUUAGCUGGUUGGUGAGGUAACGGCCCACCAAGGCUUCGAUCGGUAGCCGAACUGAGAGGUUGAUCGGCCACAUUGGGACUGAGACACGGCCCAGACUCCUACGGGAGGCAGCAGUGGGGAAUAUUGGGCAAUGGGCGCAAGCCUGAACCCCCAGCAACGCCGCGUGAAGGAUGAAGGUCUUCGGAUUGUAAACUUCUUUGAUUGGGGAAGAAUAAAUGACCUACCCAAAGAACAAGCCACGGCUAACUACGUGCCAGCAGCAGC
This 495-nucleotide ribosomal RNA is filed under the name uncultured bacterium. RNAcentral's name for it is "bacterial SSU rRNA". It matches the Rfam family "Bacterial small subunit ribosomal RNA", at positions 19 to 518 of the family's 1533-position model. The record is from RNAcentral.